RNAcentral lists this long non-coding RNA (2532 nucleotides) under Nicotiana tabacum (common tobacco). RNAcentral's name for it is "long non-coding RNA (NTAB_LNC005387)". The record is from RNAcentral. Lineage: Eukaryota; Viridiplantae; Streptophyta; Magnoliopsida; Solanales; Solanaceae.
GAAAAGAGAACAAGAGAAACAGAGGCUUGAAAAGCUUGCAGAAACUAGCCGAGUAAGUCGGUAUCGUCGCCGAAGCCGUAGCAGAAGUUACAGUCGUUCCCCUCGAAGGUACUAAUACUGAUCCUACUUGUUAUACUGUACUUGAUGUGUAGAUUGUUGAAUUUUUCAAAAGUGAGUAUUGUCUUGCAUAAGUUGAUGAUAUAGUGUUCCUUAAAGUACCUUUACCUUUUUUACUUGAUCUAGUUGUUUCUUUAUUUAAAAGGAUUUGUGAAUUUGUUGAUUAGAAAUUGAGCGAUGCCUGUCUACGAGAUGCAUGCUGGUGGAGCUAGAGGCCAUAAUUCCUGUCUACAAAGUCAAUUCGCCUAUUCACAUAGUAAACUUUUGUAUAAUUUUGAAACCUGCCAACCUUGUAGAGUCAUUGGUUUGAGGAAGUGUCUAAACGCUAUAUGAAUCAAAAUGGGUUGUGCCCACACUGACCUUUCAAGUAAUUGGUAACGUGGGUUGAAACAAGGUAAUCUAAUGGUCAAAGCAAAGCUUCUUUCAGUUAUUGGUUCUCUUAUUUGUGUUUUCAGCAAGCGCGUACGCACAGCUCUCUUCAGCCCUCGUCUUCAUCCGUAUUCAUUUUAGCUUUAGGUGAAACCAUAUUGAAAAUUUGUCUAUUGUUGCCUUAAUUCAUGGAAAUUCAAAGAGUCCGAGCCCAAGGCUGCUCCUUUGCCUUCAAUAUCAGAGAUUUGAGAGCCCUAACCUUCUCAACAAAAAAGGAAAUCCCAAACAAAUACCACCUCAAGUUUGUUCUUGAUGGAUUUUGUAAAAUGAGGGUUGUGUUUUUCUUUAUCUUUUGGGUACAUUAAGCUUUAAAUGGAGCUCGCUAAUUGGACUAGGAGUAAUGCAAUUGAAAAACUGGCCCUUGAUUUUGUGAUGUCAAGGAUGUGGGGGUGAUUAUUUCUUUUUUCUUUUCUUUUAGGGUUGAAAAGGGAGUUGGGAUUUUCUUUGCUUGAAUUUGUGUGUUAGUGGGUUUUUUAAAAUGCAUUUGUUGUUGUCUGACGUAGAAGUCACAUUAAAGCUCAUAACUAAGGCAAGAGAAAAUUAAAUGUAGAGAAACUUGGUCCUUUUAGACUGCUGAAGAUUAGGAAUUCUUAUAGUUAAAGAGGAAGAUUUAACUAUCUAAUCACUGAUCAAUCACUUGUUUUAUUUUUUGGAGAUCUCCUGAUGAACUUGUGGCUCACCUUAACAAUUUAUUGAGAGUUUUAAAUCCAGUUUAUUACUUAGUUGCUUAGCAAAAAGGGGACUUUUGUGUAAUAUUCUGCAUUUUCAUGUAUCUCUUGCGAUCCAAAUGAGAUAUACAUUUUUGAUACUCCCUUAAUUGAAAAGGGAAUUGUUGGUUCAGAGUACAAGGAUUAAAAUAGCUAGCUUUUGGUGUGAAAUGGCCAUCAAUUCCUUAUUCAUUUGGAAUAGAAUUUACUGAUUCAAGAACUACAUAAAAGGGAAUGAAAUUUUUAUAAUCAAAAGUAUAUAAAAUGUUGGAAAAAUAAUUCUUAGUGAAAGAAUAAAAAGUAUUUCUCCCCAAAAAACUAUAAUGUCAUGUAAACUGGGAAAGAGGAAUUGUCAAGGAAGUGGGAGAAAAGAGUUUGUCUUUGUUAAACAGAAAACAAGCGCAUAACUUGUCGAAAAAAGCUACAACAAGAAAAAAAUGUGAUUCAUUGAAGAAAUUCUAGAGAAUUUAUUCAACCUUGGACGCUUGGGCAUUAGUGGUAGAAACUAUAAAUGGCGUGGUGAGUGUUAGAUGUUCUUGCAGAUCAAAGUAUGCGGUCGUGUGAUUGUUGUGUGUUUGUUUGUUACAUUGUUCUGUAGUUUUUGUUGAUAGAUGGGCAUGGAUGUAGUGCCCUAAUUAUAACUCGAGUUCGGCGAGUUAAGUCAGGACCCGUCGCUAAUCUAUUUUGAACUAACCCACUUUGGUCCAAGCAAAAAUAUGGGUUUGUCAGGUAGAUCGGUUCAGUUAUUUAACCUGUUUAACCUUCCCAUUCAGUCAGAAAAGUUCUCUUCAAUCCGUGAAAGCCUUUGGUUCCUCUUUUGAAACAAGCCAUAUUACCGGUUGGAGGAUAUCUCGUAGUCUCUUAUACCUCAGUUUCCAGCAUUCAGGAAGCUUCUUGAAAAAUUGGGUAUUACCAACUAACCAACAUUAUUAGAAGAAAAUUCCACAAUUCCGUUGUAAUCAUGCGAUUCGUACACCUAUUAAGCAAAAGGUGCUCUUGUGCUUCCCCUCGAAAACCAUUAUCUGUUAUAUGUUAGUCUUUUUCUUUUUCAGGCAUCCAAACUGAACAAAUAUUUAGCAGUGUCAUCCAUUUUUUUAAUUUAAAAAACUUGGUUAACUUUCUCACGAUUUUACUCUGCAAAUUAUUAUCUUUCACUGUUAAUGUUUGAAAUUAUUAUAGGCACCGACUUAGCCGGAGUCCUAUCCGCGAAAGGAGUGCUCGCAGAUAUCAUUCACGUUCAAGGUCUCGCUCUCGGUCGCGGACUCGCUCUCAUUCACGC